RNAcentral lists this ribosomal RNA (667 nucleotides) under uncultured fungus. Its description in RNAcentral is "eukaryotic LSU rRNA". The stretch from base 217 to 370 matches the Rfam family "5.8S ribosomal RNA". The record is from RNAcentral. Lineage: Eukaryota; Fungi.
CUUGGUCAUUUAGAGGAAGUAAAAGUCGUAACAAGGUUUCCGUAGGUGAACCUGCGGAAGGAUCAUUCAUAAUAAGUGUUUUAUGGCACUUUUUAAAAUCCAUAUCCACCUUGUGUGCAAUGUUGAAAAUCGCCUUUCGAGGUGGUUUUUUUUCUUAAUAUCAACCAAUCUUAAUUAAUUUGUCUUAAUACCUUGAAUUUACUUAAUUCAAAAUACAACUUUCAACAACGGAUCUCUUGGCUCUCGCAUCGAUGAAGAACGCAGCGAAAUGCGAUACGUAAUGUGAAUUGCAGAAUUCAGUGAAUCAUCGAAUCUUUGAACGCACAUUGCGCUCUCUGGUAUUCCGGAGAGCAUGCUUGUUUGAGUAUCAGUAAACACCUCAACUCCUUUAUUGUAGUUGGACUUGAGCUAUCCCAACAGGACUUUUGUUCCUGGCGGGAGGCUUGAAAUGCAGGUGCAGCUGGACUUUCUUCUGAGCUAUAAGCAUAUUUAUUUAAUCCCUUAACACGGAUUAUUACUUUUUUGCUGCAGCUAACAUAAAGGUUGAAUUUCCAUUGAGCUGACUGAUGCAGGAAUUUGGCAAGGAAUUUUUUUAAUGACUUGUUAAACUCGAUCUCAAAUCAAGUAAGACUACCCGCUGAACUUAAGCAUAUCAAUAAGCGGAGGA